Molecule: ribosomal RNA, 1419 nt
Filed under: Salmonella enterica subsp. enterica serovar Kintambo
Lineage: Bacteria; Pseudomonadati; Pseudomonadota; Gammaproteobacteria; Enterobacterales; Enterobacteriaceae
Description: partial 23S ribosomal RNA
Rfam family: Bacterial large subunit ribosomal RNA
Source: RNAcentral
UGAAGAGGGAAACAACCCAGACCGCCAGCUAAGGUCCCAAAGUCAUGGUUAAGUGGGAAACGAUGUGGGAAGGCACAGACAGCCAGGAUGUUGGCUUAGAAGCAGCCAUCAUUUAAAGAAAGCGUAAUAGCUCACUGGUCGAGUCGGCCUGCGCGGAAGAUGUAACGGGGCUAAACCAUGCACCGAAGCUGCGGCAGCGACACUAUGUGUUGUUGGGUAGGGGAGCGUUCUGUAAGCCGUUGAAGGUGUCCUGUGAGGGAUGCUGGAGGUAUCAGAAGUGCGAAUGCUGACAUAAGUAACGAUAAUGCGGGUGAAAAACCCGCACGCCGGAAGACCAAGGGUUCCUGUCCAACGUUAAUCGGGGCAGGGUGAGUCGACCCCUAAGGCGAGGCCGAAAGGCGUAGUCGAUGGGAAACAGGUUAAUAUUCCUGUACUUGGUGUUACUGCGAAGGGGGGACGGAGAAGGCUAUGUUGGCCGGGCGACGGUUGUCCCGGUUUAAGCGUGUAGGUGUGUGUUCCAGGUAAAUCCGGUUCACUUUAACACUGAGGCGUGAUGACGAGGCACUACGGUGCUGAAGUGACAAAUGCCCUGCUUCCAGGAAAAGCCUCUAAGCAUCAGGUAACACGAAAUCGUACCCCAAACCGACACAGGUGGUCAGGUAGAGAAUACCAAGGCGCUUGAGAGAACUCGGGUGAAGGAACUAGGCAAAAUGGUGCCGUAACUUCGGGAGAAGGCACGCUGAUAUGUAGGUGAAGCGGUUUACCCGUGGAGCUGAAAUCAGUCGAAGAUACCAGCUGGCUGCAACUGUUUAUUAAAAACACAGCACUGUGCAAACACGAAAGUGGACGUAUACGGUGUGACGCCUGCCCGGUGCCGGAAGGUUAAUUGAUGGGGUUAUCCGUAAGGAGAAGCUCUUGAUCGAAGCCCCGGUAAACGGCGGCCGUAACUAUAACGGUCCUAAGGUAGCGAAAUUCCUUGUCGGGUAAGUUCCGACCUGCACGAAUGGCGUAAUGAUGGCCAGGCUGUCUCCACCCGAGACUCAGUGAAAUUGAACUCGCUGUGAAGAUGCAGUGUACCCGCGGCAAGACGGAAAGACCCCGUGAACCUUUACUAUAGCUUGACACUGAACACUGGUCCUUGAUGUGUAGGAUAGGUGGGAGGCUUUGAAGUGUGGACGCCAGUCUGCAUGGAGCCAUCCUUGAAAUACCACCCUUUAAUGGCUGGUGUUCUAACGUGGGCCCCUAAUCGGGGUUGCGGACAGUGUCUGGUGGGUAGUUUGACUGGGGCGGUCUCCUCCCAAAGAGUAACGGAGGAGCACGAAGGUUAGCUAAUCCUGGUCGGACAUCAGGAGGUUAGUGCAAAGGCAUAAGCUAGCUUGACUGCGAGAGUGACGGCUCGAGCAGGUGCGAAAGCAGGUC